This is a long non-coding RNA of Aegilops tauschii subsp. strangulata, 272 nucleotides long. RefSeq lists it as uncharacterized. Lineage: Eukaryota; Viridiplantae; Streptophyta; Magnoliopsida; Poales; Poaceae. The record is from RefSeq and is a predicted model, not a curated record.
UCAGCUAGGGUUUAAGGGCGUUUUCGGUGUAAUUAUGUUCACCCGAAUCAGCUCCGUUCGUGGUACGCCUAUCUUUUUUCUGUGGGGAGAUCUCGUCAAAGCAUCGGUACAAAAUUGCUGUUAUUGGUCCAGAUUUAAGGAACACACCGUGCUCGAGGAUCUUCUUCAUGGAGCGAGUUGUCCUCAAUGCUUACUUUAAUCGAAAUUUGUAACUGACAUACCGGAUUGAUUUUGCAUAAGUACCGAACACAUUGGAUGUGUUUCGUUUCUGA